RNAcentral lists this ribosomal RNA (1355 nucleotides) under Ophiognomonia clavigignenti-juglandacearum. Its description in RNAcentral is "eukaryotic LSU rRNA". It matches the Rfam family "Eukaryotic large subunit ribosomal RNA", at positions 56 to 1442 of the family's 3401-position model. Lineage: Eukaryota; Fungi; Ascomycota; Sordariomycetes; Diaporthales; Gnomoniaceae. The record is from RNAcentral.
GAAAAGAAACCAACAGGGAUUGCCUUAGUAACGGCGAGUGAAGCGGCAACAGCUCAAAUUUGAAAUCUGGCUUCGGCCCGAGUUGUAAUUUGUAGAGGAUGUUUAUGGUGCGGUACCUUCCGAGUUCCCUGGAACGGGACGCCACAGAGGGUGAGAGCCCCGUCUGGUUGGAUACCAAACCUGUGUUAAACUCCUUCAACGAGUCGAGUAGUUUGGGAAUGCUGCUCUAAAUGGGAGGUAAAUCUCUUCUAAAGCUAAAUACCGGCCAGAGACCGAUAGCGCACAAGUAGAGUGAUCGAAAGAUGAAAAGCACCUUGAAAAGGGGGUUAAACAGUACGUGAAAUUGUUGAAAGGGAAGCGUUUAUGACCAGACUUGUGCCGUGUGGCUCAUCCGAGGUUCUCCCCGGUGCACUCCACACGGUUCAGGCCAACAUCGGUUUUCGCCGGGGGAUAAGAACAGUAGGAACGUAGCUCCCCUCGGGGAGUGUUAUAGCCUAUUGUACGAUACCCUGGCGGGGACCGAGGACCGCGCUUCGGCUAGGAUGUUGGCGUAAUGGUCAUUAGCGACCCGUCUUGAAACACGGACCAAGGAGUCGUCCAUUAGAGCGAGCGUUUGGGUGUAAAACCCGCACGCGUAAUGAAAGUGAAAUUAGGUGAGAGCUUCGGCGCAUCAUCGACCGAUCCUGAAGUUUACGGAUGGAUUUGAGUAAGAGUUUUAACGGACGGACCCGAAAGACAGUGAACUAUGCUUGAAUAGGGUGAAGCCAGAGGAAACUCUGGUGGAGGCUCGCAGCGGUUCUGACGUGCAAAUCGAUCGUCAAAUUUGAGCAUGGGGGCGAAAGACUAAUCGAACUGUCUAGUAGCUGGUUACCGCCGAAGUUUCCCUCAGGAUAGCAGUGUUGACCUUCAGUUUUAUGAGGUAAAGCGAAUGAUUAGGGACUCGGGGGCGCUUAUUAGCCUUCAUCCAUUCUCAAACUUUAAAUAUGUAAGAAGCCCUUGUUACUUAAUUGAACGUGGGCAUUCGAAUGUACCAACACUAGUGGGCCAUUUUUGGUAAGCAGAACUGGCGAUGCGGGAUGAACCGAACGGGGGGUUAAGGCGCCAGAAUGUACGCUCAUCAGACACCACAAAAGGCGUUAGUACAUCUUGACAGCAGGACGGUGGCCAUGGAAGUCGGAAUCCGCUAAGGACUGUGUAACAACUCACCUGCCGAAUGUACUAGCCCUGAAAAUGGAUGGCGCUCAAGCGUACUGCCCAUACCCCCCCUUCAGGGUAGAAACGAUGCCCUGAAGAGUAGGCGGCCGUGGAGGUUGUGACGAAGCCUAGGGCGUGAGCCCGGGUCGAACAGCCUCUAG